UAGAUACCCUGGUAGUCCACGCCGUAAACGAUGGAUACUAGGUGUGGGGGGACUGACCCCCUCCGUGCCGCAGCUAACGCAAUAAGUAUCCCACCUGGGGAGUACGAUCGCAAGGUUGAAACUCAAAGGAAUUGACGGGGGCCCGCACAAGCGGUGGAGUAUGUGGUUUAAUUCGAAGCAACGCGAAGAACCUUACCAGGGCUUGACAUCCUGCUAACGAACCAGAGAUGGAUUAGGUGCCCUUCGGGGAAAGCAGAGACAGGUGGUGCAUGGUUGUCGUCAGCUCGUGUCGUGAGAUGUUGGGUUAAGUCCCGCAACGAGCGCAACCCCUAUCUUCAGUAGCCAGCAUUCAGGAUGGGAACUCAGGAGAGACUGCCCGGGACAACCGGGAGGAAGGCGGGGAUGACGUCAAAUCAUCAUGCCCCUUAUGGGCAGGGCUACACACGUGCUACAAUGGCGAAAACAGAGGGAAGCGAGCCGGUGACGGUAAGCAAACCCCAAAAACAUCGUCCCAGUUCGGACUGUAGUCUGCAACCCGACUACACGAAGCCGGAAUCGCUAGUAAUCGCGGAUCANAAUGCCGCGGUGAAUACGUUCCCGGGUCUUGUACACACCGCCCGUCACACCAUGGGGAGUCGGAAAUGCCCGAAGUCAGUGACCUACCCUUAAGGAGGGAGCUGCCGAAGUGGAGCCGGUACCUGGGUGAAGUCGUAACAGGGUAGCCCAAUUCCACAACCUGCGGG
RNAcentral lists this ribosomal RNA (743 nucleotides) under uncultured bacterium. Its description in RNAcentral is "bacterial SSU rRNA". It matches the Rfam family "Bacterial small subunit ribosomal RNA", at positions 779 to 1533 of the family's 1533-position model. The record is from RNAcentral.